RNAcentral lists this ribosomal RNA (800 nucleotides) under uncultured bacterium. RNAcentral's name for it is "bacterial SSU rRNA". It matches the Rfam family "Bacterial small subunit ribosomal RNA", at positions 8 to 839 of the family's 1533-position model. The record is from RNAcentral.
AGAGUUUGAUCCUGGCUCAGAAUCAACGCUGGCGGCGCGCCUAACACAUGCAAGUCGCACGAGAAAGCCGGGGCAACCUGGUGAGUACAGUGGCGUACGGGUGAGUAACACGUGGGUUACCUACCCUCUGGUGGGGAAUAACCUUGGGAAACCGGGGCUAAUACCGCAUAAGUCCGAGAGGAGAAAGCCGAAAGGCGCCGGAGGAGGGGCCCGCGGCCGAUUAGCUAGUUGGUAGGGUGACGGCCUACCAAGGCUUUGAUCGGUAGCCGGCCUGAGAGGGCACACGGCCACACUGGCACUGAAACACGGGCCAGACUCCUACGGGAGGCAGCAGUGGGGAAUCUUGCACAAUGGGGGAAACCCUGAUGCAGCGACGCCGCGUGAGCGAUGAAGCCCUUCGGGGUGUAAAGCACUUUCGGCAGGAAAGAUUAUGACGGUACCUGCAGAAGAAGCUGCGGCUAACUACGUGCCAGCAGCCGCGGUAAUACGUAGGCAGCGAGCGUUGUUCGGAGUUACUGGGCGUAAAGAGUGUGUAGGCGGUUCGCCAAGUUCGGUGUGAAAUCUCCCGGCUCAACUGGGAGGGUGCGCCGAAUACUGGCGGGCUUGAGUGCGGGAGAGGAAAGCGGAAUUCCUGGUGUAGCGGUGAAAUGCGUAGAUAUCAGGAGGAACACCUGCGGUGUAGACAGCUUUCUGGACCGCGACUGACGCUGAGACACGAAAGCGUGGGGAGCAAACAGGAUUAGAUACCCUGGUAGUCCACGCCCUAAACGAUGCACACUUGGUGUGGGCAGUUCAUUCUG